GACGAACGCUGGCGGCGUGCUUAACACAUGCAAGUCGAACGAAGUGGCGAACGGGUGAGUAACGCGUAAUCAACCUGCCCUUCAGAGGGGGACAACAGUUGGAAACGACUGCUAAUACCGCAUACUGAAGGAGGGGAUUGCGUCCGAUUAGUUAGUUGGAGGGGUAACGGCCCACCAAGGCGAUGAUCAGUAGCCGGUCUGAUGGGAGGAACGGCCACAGUGGUACUGGGGCACUGCCCAGACUCCGUCGGGAGGCCGCUGUGGGGAAUCUUCCGCAAUGGACGCAAGUCUGACGGCGCAACGCCGCGUGAUUGAUGACGGCCUUCGGGUUUUAAAGCUCUGUUAAUCGGGACGCGGUACCGGAAUAGAAAGCCACGGCUAACUACGUGCCAGCAGCCGCGGUAAUAC
RNAcentral lists this ribosomal RNA (408 nucleotides) under uncultured bacterium. RNAcentral's name for it is "partial 16S ribosomal RNA". It matches the Rfam family "Bacterial small subunit ribosomal RNA", at positions 28 to 526 of the family's 1533-position model. The record is from RNAcentral.